CUCCCUUCCUCCCCCGACUCCUUCUCUCCUCCCUUCUUUCUCCCCUCCCCAUCACCGCUCUUUUUGGUGUGUUGCUCACUUUCUCCUCAGUUUGUCCAAACACUUUCAGUUUUCACUUUCAGGAAGUGUUGAGGUCCACACCCAACUCAGGCUCUCCAUCCCUGAGGGGAAGCACGUGGCUGUCCCCUUUCGGUGGAUUUCAAGCAUCCCUGGCGCAGGUGCAGCGGCCUUGCCCUGGGCUCACCAGCAGCCUUUGGGGUCCCAGUUGGCAGGCAGCCCUGUUCCCUGGGGGUCCCUGCCGGAGCUGCUGGUCCCUGGAGCUACCCCGUGGUACGGUUCAUCUGGACCAGCCUCUGAUGUGGGGAAGACCAAGCGAGAGCACACUGCGGAGAGCCCAAAAGUCAGAUGUCCUGGCUUAAGCUGCUGAAGCCACCUUGGACCAUGAGUGAUCUUGAGAAUGGAAGCCACUGUCUAGAUGUUGGAACAAAGACAAUGGCCUGGGCCUCCCUGAUGACACCGCAGAGUCACCAAUUCUAAUGAACAUACUACCAACAGUGAUUUUCUCCUUGGCCCAUUAACCACACGGAAGGGAGUAUUCGCUGUGGAGUGCCUCUGUAGCUGAGGGCCCCUGGCGCGUGGUUUCAUCAGAGGCAGACAGCUGCGUGAGUCACUGUGGUGGGCAGUGUGCUGGGCCACCCUGCGGGUCCUGCCAGAGUGCUGUGGAAUUCAAGUUUGUCUUCUCCAGUUUUAGUCUCUGCACGUGCGUUGGUCUCCUUUCUGCCCCUACAGUGUGGCCAAGGCCAUUCCAGCCUCAGGAGGGCAAGAGGAGGCCUGUUGGAUGCAUCCUGAAAACACAGGCCAUCACUGUGGGUGAGAUCUACCAGGACAGAUGCCAUUCUGCAAAGCUCCUAGUGGUAAAGCAAUUUGCAGGACAACCAUGGAAGAAAGGUGCCCGCCUUCUCUAAGCUGACAUGGCCCCGCUCCCUCCCUCAGUCUGUAGCCUCAGGAGGGGACUGCUUUGCCUGUGAGUGGGAGGGAGCUACCGUGUGAGUAGUUCCCAACAGACCAUCUGAAGUCAUUUUCCCAGGUGGCAGGAGAAACACAGAGCCAGACGUUACACUGCUUUUCAAAGAGGUAAGCUCUUUUUUUUUAACUGCUAUUUAAAACUCCAAACAAAAAUGAAGCUGUGGAUGCAUGCAAGAAUGAAGCCUAAGCAAAAAUAACUCUUCAAAAAGGAAGCAGGUUUUUUGGAGAGGGUGUGUGUGUGAGGGCGGGGCGGGGGCGAGUCCUUCAAUGUGGUUUUGAAAUUAAGGUCCAUGUUCUGUGAUAAUAAGCUAUGUAUCAAUGAGAAAGGCUGAGAUUAUGACAAGAGGAAAAGGAGUAAAGGAUUUGGCGGUUUAAUCACGUUUCUAUUCUUUUUUAUAUCUGCAUCUUCUUUGAAUGCAAGUAUCAAGUUCUGUUUGGCUUUUGUGGAAAGCCAUUUCCGAAGACCUGCCUUACUUGACUGUUUCUCCCUCUCUGGCUCUCCUGUUACCAACGUCCUAGAGUUGCCUCUGCUGCCCCAGCGAGGAUGGCGACACAAACAGCGGUGGUGUCAGCGGACAGCGGUGGUGUCAGCGGUGACCGAGGCAGGGCCGAGACUCCAGGGCCCUUCGGGUUCAAGCUGUGCCCCCUCGCGCAGUUCAGCACCUGCCAGCACUUCCAAGUGUGUGAUUGUCACGCUUGCCUGAUUACUCCUUCCUUUGGGCUCCCAUAGCAAUUUGUACAUUACUGUGGAAUUGAUCAAAUUGCUUUAUAACUAGCUGUUUAUGUGUCUUUAAUCUGUGUCAUUUUGGAUGGCAGGAAAUGCUCUUUCGGUAAUUUUUUUGUCCACACUGACUGGAAUACUGGUUGGCACAUAGUAGGUAUUCAACAGUUUUUUAUCGAGGGAAUGAAAGCUCUCUAAACCACAGCAAUCAUUUGUAGACAAAGACUCUUAGGGUGUAAUGUGAUUUAACAUCUGAUUUUUGGAAAAUAGUUACUGAGAUCAUUCCGACAAUAAUAGAGUGCAAUACCCUACCUUGAAUAAAGGAUAUUUUACUCCUUU
Molecule: long non-coding RNA, 2086 nt
Filed under: Homo sapiens (human)
Lineage: Eukaryota; Metazoa; Chordata; Mammalia; Primates; Hominidae
Description: HSALNT0324321
Source: RNAcentral